This 464-nucleotide ribosomal RNA is filed under the name uncultured bacterium. RNAcentral describes it as "partial 16S ribosomal RNA". It matches the Rfam family "Bacterial small subunit ribosomal RNA", at positions 28 to 507 of the family's 1533-position model. The record is from RNAcentral.
GACGAACGCUGGCGGCGUGCUUAACACAUGCAAGUCGAACGGUACGGCCCCUUCGGGGGUCCACGAGUGGCGAACGGGUGAGUAACCCGCGGGUGAUCUGCCCUGCACUUCGGGAUAAGCGUGGGAAACUGGGUCUAAUACCGGAUAGGACCACGCUCUGCAUGGAGUGUGGUGGCAAGCUUUUGUGGUGUGGGAUGGGCGCGCGGCCUAUCAGCUUGUUGGUGGGGUGAUGGCAUACCAAGGCGACGACGGGUAGCCGGCCUGGGAGGGUGUCCGGCCACACUGGGACUGAGAUACGGCCCAGACUCCUACGGGAGGCAGCAGUGGGGAAUAUUGCACAAUGGGCGCAAGCCUGAUGCAGCGACGCCGCGUGGGGGAUGACGGCCUUCGGGUUGUAAACCUCUUUCAGUACCGACGAAGCGCAAGUGACGGUAGGUACAGAAGAAGCACCGGCUAACUACGUG